CUUUGUCCUAGUCCUACUAACACUCAUUAAAAACCAGCACUAUGUAUGAGUGCUGUGCCACUGCUGUCUCUGUAACUGGCAGCACUUGCUUAGGGCUCCUAAGAUUGGCUCCUUAUGGGGUUGGCUUUUUCAUGAACUUCGGUGUGAGAAACAGGGUCUUCCUUGGAUGCCUUUGAAUUGUGCCCUCUACCAAAUACCCUCCCACCUUGUAGACAGAGACAUGAUAUGCACAAGAAUAUUCAUGACAGCUUUAUUUGUGAUAGCCCCAAACUGUAAACAACAGAAAUGUCCAUCAACAUUGGAGUGGGCAAAUAAACUGUAGCAUAUUCACACAAUGAAUACUACACAGCAGUGGAGAAAUUACGAACUUCUGGUACUUGCAUCCAGACAGGAGGGUGAUUACCUGGGGGGAACUGGUCCAGAAGAGACAUGAGGAAACCUUAUCAAGGUGCUGGGAAUUUUCCAUAACUGGAUCUGGUUCCUCAAGAGAAAACACAUGUAAAAAUUCACUGAGCUGCAUCUAAGAUUUGUGUACUUUACAGGAUGUCAGUUGCAUCUUAAAAAAAAAACAUAACAAUCAAACAAAUCUUGCUAGGCCAGUUUACUGAGGCCCAGAUGGGGAUGGGGGAAUUUACUAAAACAGUUCUGUUUGAGGACCAUAAACUUGCUUUGACUGUCAAAUAUAGCAGGGUCCAACUACCUUUAGUAGAGUAGUACUAGAGACAAUAACAAACUGUGGGGGUUUUUUUGUUUGUUUUUUGUUUUGUUUUGUUUUUUAAGACAGAGUCUCAUUAUCAUCUGGGCUGGAGUGUGGUGGUGUGAUCUUGGCUCACUGCAACCUCCAUCUCUCAGAUUCAAGAGAUUCUCAUGCUUCAGCCUCCUGAGGAGCUGGGAUUACAGGCACCCGCCACCACACCUGGCUAAUUUUUGUAUUUUUAGUAGAGAUGGGAUUUCACCAUGUUGGUCAGGCUAGUCCUGAACUCCUGACCUCAGGUGAUCCACCCGCCUUGGCCUCUCAAAGUGCUGGAGUUACAGGUGUGAGCCACCGCACCUGGCCAAAACUGUGUGUUUUAAUAGUCUUUACAGUAGAAGAGUGAUAUAGAACACAGCAUAAAUAAUUAUUAAUUUUUAUUUCAUUUUAUGUGGAUAUGAGGACAGUUUCAUCAAGAUUAAAGGGCUUGUUAUUAGCUAGAUAAUGACCCCCCACCUUCAAAAUUUCUACAUCCUAUUUCUUGGAACCUGCGAUUGUUACUUUAUAUACCAAAAAAAGACAUUCAGAUGUGAUUGAAUUAAGGAUCUUGUGAUGGAGAGAUUAUCCUCUUCUAUAAG
Molecule: long non-coding RNA, 1329 nt
Filed under: Homo sapiens (human)
Lineage: Eukaryota; Metazoa; Chordata; Mammalia; Primates; Hominidae
Description: HSALNT0096768
Source: RNAcentral